AUCAUCAAUCCCGUAAUGAAUACAAAUUUUAUUAGAAAAUAUAUCAUCUCUCCCGCAUGCAACCAAAUAAUUGCUCUCCUUCCUUGUUGGAUUUGAUCCUGCCACCAAAUCUUCCAUAUCCUUCUCUCGUUAGUCAUGAUCUUGCACCAAAUCACAUGAGCCUUAAUCACUUAUUCUCCCCCUAGGGAUUUAGUCUCAUGAACAUCUCCAUCGCCUGCAUAAUCCUCCCGCCGUCGCACUCCUCUCGCCGUUGAUGCCCACAUCCCCUACGAGUGCAUCCUGCCAUCACGUCCCGCGCCGCUCCGCUCCGCCCCUACCACUGUGACAGCACUGGCUUUCCCUGCCACGACGCUACGAGCCCGCUAGAGGUCGCCGAUGUCCUAUGCCACAGCGCAAGGGGCGCUCCCGGACGUUCCUCCUCUUAAUGAGAGGCUCCCGCCCCUGCCACUCUUGCCGCCUUGGUCGCCCAUCAUCGCCAUCGUUGCCUCCCUGACCAGCGAACUCUGAUGAUGUCAAUAUGACCAGCCUAGGGCAUUUAAUCUGUAUCGAGGGAUUAUUACACAAUUCUUCAUUACAAUGCACGUGAUGCAUCUGAUUCAAGCUUAUGUGGCGGGGAUGAUAUUCAGGAAGCACAUCUUGACCAAUGGCUGAGUACGCCCCACUCCUUUCAGGCUCUAGAGUUUAAUUUUAUCAACGAGACUCCGAGGCAUUUAUUUUCUUUUUGCAAGUCAUGCUUUCAUCUACUAGGUAACCAAAUCAGGCUCCAUCUGUUCACGAGCAAGCAGAAAAUUAACGAGACAAAAGAUGCGAGCACUCUUGGUUUGUUGUUUCUUGAGAGUAAUAAUCCCUAUCAUAUCUUGAAGACAGGGGCGGAGCCAACUUACGAAUAAUGGGUGUACAGAGUACACCUGAAGUUACAUUUUUACUCAUAUUUCUUAUAUUUAUUAUUUGAUAUAUAUUACUCUGUAUUUAAGUUAGAUAUAGGUAUACAAGAUGCUGCCAAAAAAUAAUGGGCGUACAUUUGUACACACAUUUACUGAUCUGGCUCCGCCUAUGCUUGAAGAGGUGGCACUCAUGGUGUCACUCGUGCUAUGAUAGUGGUGUCCAUCCAUGGCAAGGUGCGCCUAGGUUGACUGUGAGCAUGACAGUGUCGCUGGUCAUUUGCAUUCUACUGAGGAUGGAGGUGAGACUUAAGUACCCUCUCUGAUUGAUACUUACAACACUUGAGCACACUGGUUGCAUGGUGGAUGCAUUGGGCUUUUUA
Lolium perenne is the source of this 1264-nucleotide long non-coding RNA. RefSeq lists it as uncharacterized. The record is from RefSeq and is a predicted model, not a curated record. Lineage: Eukaryota; Viridiplantae; Streptophyta; Magnoliopsida; Poales; Poaceae.